CUCAUUAGUCAUCUAUACAAAGUUCGCCACAUAACACAUUACAAUUUAAUAAAAUAUAAUGUGCAAGAAAAUAUAAACAUAACCACCCUUAGUCAUUAUCAAACCUAUCAACAAUGAUUUACAUAUUAUUAGUAUCAUAGCUAAUAACAACUACACGUUAUUAACUAUCAACCAUCGUUAACAGCAGAAAUUCUGCCCAGCCUAUCAUCCCACAUAUGAAUCUUACAUGCACAUCGCAACUUAUGUGAAAUGGAUCAUCUACACCAAUCUAAUCAUUUACUCUAUGCUAGAGCAGCAAGUACAAUCUUUGAUAGCCAAUAAGAUCCGCAUUAGAGAACCAAGGCAUCAUAUCGAAACAGUAAUUACUCGACACCCAGAAGAAUGCAUAACAUCUUGCUCAGCUCAAGCUGGAUGAUACAACUCAAUUAUAUGGGUUGAGAAGAAUGGUAGAAAAGCAACUGUGAGAAACUACAGAUGGAGCAAUGACCAUUCUAAAGAACUCCUUUUACAUACAUUCCAAACUGAAUGAACACACCAAUAUUAACCAUAUUCACAAUGAUAUAUCUAGUUUGGUGUUCUUUACCGCUAGCAUUUUACUUCCUUCCACCCACCAUCCCUUGGCUAGAAGGUCCUGACAAGCUUGGUGAUGUGCUACCAGUCAUCUUAAACCUUCCAUCUGCAUUGCCA
Molecule: unclassified non-coding RNA, 687 nt
Filed under: Hevea brasiliensis (rubber tree)
Lineage: Eukaryota; Viridiplantae; Streptophyta; Magnoliopsida; Malpighiales; Euphorbiaceae
Source: RNAcentral